RNAcentral lists this ribosomal RNA (501 nucleotides) under Idiomarina loihiensis. RNAcentral describes it as "bacterial SSU rRNA". It matches the Rfam family "Bacterial small subunit ribosomal RNA", at positions 1 to 497 of the family's 1533-position model. Lineage: Bacteria; Pseudomonadati; Pseudomonadota; Gammaproteobacteria; Alteromonadales; Idiomarinaceae. The record is from RNAcentral.
UUUAGAGUUUAAUCCUGGCUCCAGAUUGAACGCUGGCGGCAGGCCUAACACAUGCAAGUCGAGCGGUAACAGAGAGAAGCUUCCUUCUCUGCUGACGAGCGGCGGACGGGUGAGUAAUACUUGGGAAUUUCCCUUUAGGCGGGGGACAACCACGGGAAACUGUGGCUAAUACCGCAUAAUGUCUACGGACCAAAGUGGGGGACCUUCGGGCCUCACACCUAAAGAUGAGCCCAAGCGGGAUUAGCUAGUUGGUGGGGUAAAGGCUCACCAAGGCGACGAUCCCUAGCUGUUCUGAGAGGAUGAUCAGCCACACUGGGACUGAGACACGGCCCAGACUCCUACGGGAGGCAGCAGUGGGGAAUAUUGCACAAUGGGGGAAACCCUGAUGCAGCCAUGCCGCGUGUGUGAAGAAGGCCUUCGGGUUGUAAAGCACUUUCAGCGACGAGGAAGGGUGUUGUAUUAAUAGCGCAGCACAUGACGUUAUCGCAGAAGAGCACCGCA